Molecule: ribosomal RNA, 497 nt
Filed under: uncultured bacterium
Lineage: Bacteria
Description: partial 16S ribosomal RNA
Rfam family: Bacterial small subunit ribosomal RNA
Source: RNAcentral
GAUGAACGCUGGCGGCGUGCCUAAUACAUGCAAGUCGAGCGAACAGACGAGGAGCUUGCUCCUUUGACGUUAGCGGCGGACGGGUGAGUAACACGUAGGUAACCUACCUAUAAGACUGGGAUAACUUCGGGAAACCGGAGCUAAUACCGGAUAAUAUUUCGAACCGCAUGGUUCGAUAGUGAAAGAUGGCUUUGCUAUCACUUAUAGAUGGACCUGCGCCGUAUUAGCUAGUUGGUAAGGUAACGGCUUACCAAGGCAACGAUACGUAGCCGACCUGAGAGGGUGAUCGGCCACACUGGAACUGAGACACGGUCCAGACUCCUACGGGAGGCAGCAGUAGGGAAUCUUCCGCAAUGGGCGAAAGCCUGACGGAGCAACGCCGCGUGAGUGAUGAAGGUCUUCGGAUCGUAAAACUCUGUUAUUAGGGAAGAACAAACGUGUAAGUAACUGUGCACGUCUUGACGGUACCUAACCAGAAAGCCACUGCUAACUACGUG